UACGAGAGGCCCAAACGUUAUUCGGAAUUACUGGGCUUAAAGAGUCCGUAGGCGGCGCGGUAAGUGGGGUGUGAAAGCCCUCGGCUCAACCGAGGAAUUGCGCUCCAAACUACCGUGCUUGAGGAACCUAGAGGUGAGCAGAACUGAUGGUGGAGCGGUGAAAUGCGUUGAUAUCAUCAGGAAUACCGGAGGCGAAGGCGGCUCACUGGGGGUUUUCUGACGCUGAGGGACGAAAGCCAGGGGAGCGAACGGG
Molecule: ribosomal RNA, 253 nt
Filed under: uncultured bacterium
Lineage: Bacteria
Description: partial 16S ribosomal RNA
Rfam family: Bacterial small subunit ribosomal RNA
Source: RNAcentral